UACGUAGGGUGCGAGCGUUAAUCGGAAUUACUGGGCGUAAAGGGUGCGCAGGCGGUUUUGUAAGCCAGGUGUGAAAUCCCCGGGCUUAACCUGGGAAUGGCAUUUGGGACUGCAAGGCUGGAGUGCGGCAGAGGAGACUGGAAUUCCUGGUGUAGCAGUGAAAUGCGUAGAUAUCAGGAGGAAUACCGAUGGCGAAGGCAGGUCUCUGGGCUGACACUGACGCUCAUGCACGAAAGCGUGGGGAGCAAACAGG
This 253-nucleotide ribosomal RNA is filed under the name uncultured bacterium. RNAcentral describes it as "partial 16S ribosomal RNA". It matches the Rfam family "Bacterial small subunit ribosomal RNA", at positions 524 to 776 of the family's 1533-position model. The record is from RNAcentral.